AAAGGGUCUAUCACUGUUGACGUGGACCCGUUCAGGAGAGAGUAAACUCUACUAUUACAAUAUAGAUAGAUUAUUAAUCAUUUUUCUUUUCUUUUUAUGAAUCUGCAAUAACUAUAAUUUAUUUAACAAUUAUUUUAAUAGUUAAAUAUAAUAGAAAAAAAUUAUUUAAAAAUUAGAGUAGUAUUUAAUAAAUUUAAUUUUUAAUCAUACAAAAUUAAAUUGACAAAAUGUAAUAAAAGAAAAAUAUAUUUUAAGUUUUUUGGUAUAAAAUUGAAUAAACCAAAAACUGACAGUAUAUAAACCGAACCAAACCAAAAUAUAUAUGAUUUUCUAAUUUUUAUAAACCAAAAUAAAAAAAAAAACAAACUGAGACCAGACUAAAAUUGAAUGAACCAAAAACUGAAAGUAUAUAAAUUGAAUCAAACCAAAAUAUAUAUGAUUUUAAUAAGGUAUUGUGGGAACCGAAAUUCGCACUGUCGAUUUCCGUUUAAAUAAGGAAACUAAGAAAACCCUAGUUUCCCAGAGGACCCGGAUAUCUGUUAAUUACCACACG
This 553-nucleotide long non-coding RNA is filed under the name Brassica rapa (field mustard). Its description in RNAcentral is "long non-coding RNA (BRAP_LNC000435)". The record is from RNAcentral. Lineage: Eukaryota; Viridiplantae; Streptophyta; Magnoliopsida; Brassicales; Brassicaceae.